CAGCUGAUAAUCAUAAUUGAUUAAGAAAUAACCUGGAAGAAGAAAUGAGUUAACUAUUGAUUAUAACAGAGACGAGAAUGCCAUCGUGUUUGUUCUGCUAAAAAAAGCAGGAACAUUGGAGUUUAUGGUUAGAUUUUAAAUAUUUAUUGUCUCCAAACUGGGUAAAUUUGAUAUAGUAACAACCCCCCCUUUUUUUUUUAAAUAACUCGAGAACCACAC
This 219-nucleotide long non-coding RNA is filed under the name Mytilus galloprovincialis (Mediterranean mussel). Lineage: Eukaryota; Metazoa; Mollusca; Bivalvia; Mytilida; Mytilidae. The record is from RNAcentral.